Molecule: ribosomal RNA, 468 nt
Filed under: Triticum aestivum (bread wheat)
Lineage: Eukaryota; Viridiplantae; Streptophyta; Magnoliopsida; Poales; Poaceae
Description: partial small subunit ribosomal RNA
Source: RNAcentral
GAUUAUGAAUGGCGCAUCUUACCCCCAUCUGGGAGGUCCGGUGGAAUCUUGCUAGGAAUCCAUUCCACGUACUUGGAACUUUUGUCCACGUCAAAGGGGUAAUAUCAUAUCAAAUUUCACCUUCGAAACAAGUCCGACAAUUUCCUUUGGAGCCUGGCGGUUGUAUAUGGCGCCGCUCAGGACGAGUUUAAGUCUGCUUUUCUAAAGGAACUUGUUAAUACCUGCUAAGACAAUCCCCAUCCAAUGUUAAUCAGGGGGGAUUUCAAUAUCCUUCGAUAUCAGCAGGAAGAAAACAAUGACCGGUUUGAUACUAGGUGGCCUUUCCUAUUUAAUUCUGUUAUUGACAGCCUAGAUCUGCGGGAGGUCACUAUGUCUGGCCGUCAGUAUACCUGGGACAAUAACCGACCAGUUGCAACUUUCGAAAAACUUGACCGGGUGCUGGUUACCACCGACUGGGAAUAUAAAUAG